GAAAGAACAGCCCAUUUGUUGAACCCUGUUGAUAGCAAGUGGAUAUUUCUCUAAUUAGAAACCUGUUACUCUGAAGGACUUCAUGCAGCUCACUGAAGGUGAAAUGGAAAGUUACUUAUGCAAAGUGGAUUUUGUAAACAAAAAACAAGAGAGCCACCCACGCCUCAGGACCGGAGUGUGAGUGUUGAGGGAGGGUGAGGAGUACUCUAGUAAUACUCUGUAGUCAGUGCCUACGUGCUGCACUGGAAGAUACUUACGUGGGGAGGGACCUUCAUGAUGUGGGGAUACUUCUGUCCUGGAGAUACAUGUCCCCUCUCCUCUAUGGCUGCAAGUCUUCCACUGUCUUACGUAUGGCAUGGUUCAAAGUCAACUUUAGAUACAAUGAUA
Molecule: long non-coding RNA, 387 nt
Filed under: Androctonus crassicauda
Lineage: Eukaryota; Metazoa; Arthropoda; Arachnida; Scorpiones; Buthidae
Source: RNAcentral